GUGAGUCAUCGAAUCUUUGAACGCACAUUGCGCCCGCCAGCAUUCUGGCGGGCAUGCCUGUUCGAGCGUCAUUGCAACCCCUCAGGCCCUGCCUGGCGUUGGAGGACUGCGCUGCAGCCUCCCAAAGCAAGCGGCGGCGGCGCCCCACAACCGAACGCAGUAGUUACCUCUCGUUCUGUGCGUGGUGCGGAGGCCGGCCGGAAAACCCCCCCUCUUUAUCGUGGUUGACCUCGAAUCAGGUAGGAAUACCCGCUGAACUUAAGCAUAUCAAUAAGCGGAGGA
RNAcentral lists this unclassified non-coding RNA (282 nucleotides) under Ascomycota sp. Its description in RNAcentral is "partial contains 5.8S ribosomal RNA, internal transcribed spacer 2, and large subunit ribosomal RNA". The stretch from base 1 to 71 matches the Rfam family "5.8S ribosomal RNA", at positions 84 to 154 of the family's 154-position model. Lineage: Eukaryota; Fungi; Ascomycota. The record is from RNAcentral.